RNAcentral lists this ribosomal RNA (468 nucleotides) under uncultured bacterium. RNAcentral's name for it is "bacterial SSU rRNA". It matches the Rfam family "Bacterial small subunit ribosomal RNA", at positions 28 to 524 of the family's 1533-position model. The record is from RNAcentral.
GNNGAACGCACAAGACGUGCCUAACACAUGCAAAUCGAAUGAAAACAAUUUAAUUAAAUUGUUUUCAUGGUGAACGGGUGAGUAACACAUAAGAAUCAGCUUUUAGAUAAGGCAUAAAAGAGUAAUAUCUUGGUAAUUCCUUAUAUGCGCAGCAGUGCUUAAAAAGGGGACUCCCGUCUAAAAACGAGCUUAUGCCUGAUUAGCUAGUUGGCGAGUUAAAAGCUCACCAAGGCGAAGAUCAGUAGCUGGCCUGAGAGGGCGGCCAGCCACAUUGGGACUGAGACACGGCCCAAACUCCUACGGGAGGCAGCAGUGGGGAAUCUUCUGCAAUGGGCGCAAGCCUGACAGAGCGGCGUCAUGUGAAGGAAGAAGGCCUGAAAUAGGUUGUAAACUUCUUUUACUGAGUAAUGAAUACUGACAACGCAGUAAAAAAGUAUCGGCUAACUCCGUGCCAGCAGCCGCGGUAAU